RNAcentral lists this ribosomal RNA (165 nucleotides) under uncultured bacterium. RNAcentral describes it as "partial 16S rRNA". It matches the Rfam family "Bacterial small subunit ribosomal RNA", at positions 355 to 511 of the family's 1533-position model. The record is from RNAcentral.
UAGGGAAUCUUCGGCAAUGGGGGCGAACCCUGACUGAGCAACGCCGCGUGAGUGAAGAGGUUUUCGGAUCGUAAAGCUCUGUUGUAAGAGAAGAACGUGUGUGAGAGUGGAAAGUUCACACAGUGACGGUAACUUACCAGAAAGGGACGGCUAACUACGUGCCAC